UCCGGUUUGGCACCGGCAGUCUCCAAUGAGUCCCCGGCAUUACCCGCUGGCAACAUUGGACAGGGGUUGCGCUCGUUGCGCCACUUAAGGCAACACCUCACGGCACGAGCUGACGACAGCCAUGCAGCACCUGUGCAGGCUCCCGAAGGAGCGCCGUGUUUCCACGGCUUUACCCUGCAUGUCAAGCCCUGGUAAGGUGGGGAUGACGUCUCCUCAUGCGUU
This 222-nucleotide unclassified non-coding RNA is filed under the name uncultured Actinomycetes bacterium. RNAcentral describes it as "uncultured actinobacterium contains 16S-23S intergenic spacer region". The record is from RNAcentral. Lineage: Bacteria; Bacillati; Actinomycetota; Actinomycetes.